GGAGUAUCGCCAAAAGUCUGAGUCAUUCACAAGCAAAGAUGGGGUGAGGUUCACCACUAUGUGAACAACUGCAUGAGCAAAUAGUCCAAAAGUUUAAGAACAACGUUUCUCAACGUACAAUUGCAAGGAAUUUAGGGAUUCAUCAUCUACAGUCCAUAAUAUCAUGAAAAGAUUCAGAGAAUCUGGAGAAAUCUAUGCACGUAAGCAGCAAGGCUGACAAACAACAUUCAAUGCCUGUGAUCUUCGAUCCCUCAGGCGGCAGUGCAUUAAAAACCAACAUCAUUAUGUAAAGGGUAUUACCGUGUGGGCUCAGGAACACUUCGGAAAACCAUUGUCAGUUAACACAGUUUGUCGCUACAUCUACAAGUGCAAGUUAAAACUCUGCCAUGCAAAGCGAAAGCCAUACAUCAACAAAACCCAGAAACGCCACCGGCUUCUCUGGGCCUGAGCUCAUCUGAGAUGGACUGACGCAAAGUGGAAAAGUGUGCUGUGGUCUGAUGAGUCCACAUUUCUAAUUGUUUUUGGAAAUCAUGGACAUCAUGUCCUCUGGGCCAAAGAGGAAAAGGACC
Molecule: long non-coding RNA, 569 nt
Organism: Sander lucioperca (pikeperch)
Lineage: Eukaryota; Metazoa; Chordata; Actinopteri; Perciformes; Percidae
Exons: 4
Source: RefSeq, a predicted model, not a curated record